Molecule: long non-coding RNA, 235 nt
Filed under: Phaseolus vulgaris (common bean)
Lineage: Eukaryota; Viridiplantae; Streptophyta; Magnoliopsida; Fabales; Fabaceae
Description: long non-coding RNA (PVUL_LNC003042)
Source: RNAcentral
CUCUACACUAGAGUUUAUGGCAUUUGAACAUGUAAAAGAACGUAUUCUUGGAUCCUCUUGGCCAUAACUCUAUGGUUGGCCCAAAUUUACCCUUUGGUGGGCUUGCAUGUGGGCUUGUGCUUGGGCCUUUUCCAUCACCCCCUCCCUCUUGAAAAAGAUUUGUCCUCAAAUCCAUUGCUUCUUCUUCUUCAUGGCUAGGGGAAUGGAUGUGGCUGGAUGGUGUCCAUCAUCUCCU